UGGGGAAUAUUGGGCAAUGGGCGAAAGCCUGACCCAGCAACGCCGCGUGAGGGAAGAAGGUUUUCGGAUUGUAAACCUCUGUCCUAAGGGAAGAAGGAAGUGACGGUACCUUAGGAGGAAGCCCCGGCUAACUACGUGCCAGCAGCCGCGGUAAUACGUAGGGGGCGAGCGUUGUCCGGAAUGACUGGGCGUAAAGGGCGUGUAGGCGGCCUGUUAAGUUAGAAGUGAAAGUCCUGAUUUCAAGUUGGGAAUUGCUUUUAAUACUGAUGGGCUUGAGUGCAGAAGAGGUAAGUGGAAUUCCCAGUGUAGCGGUGAAAUGCGUAGAGAUUGGGAGGAACACCAGUGGCGAAGGCGACUUACUGGGCUGUAACUGACGCUGAGGCGCGAAAGCGUGGGGAGCGAACAGG
This 407-nucleotide ribosomal RNA is filed under the name uncultured prokaryote. Its description in RNAcentral is "bacterial SSU rRNA". It matches the Rfam family "Bacterial small subunit ribosomal RNA", at positions 355 to 776 of the family's 1533-position model. RNAcentral also lists the same sequence under 1 other name. The record is from RNAcentral.